Macroventuria anomochaeta is the source of this 83-nucleotide non-coding RNA. The record is from the annotation of a RefSeq genome assembly. NCBI's taxonomy places the organism in Eukaryota, Fungi, Ascomycota, Dothideomycetes, Pleosporales, Didymellaceae.
GGUUCGAUGGUGUAGUUGGUUAUCACGUCAGUCUAACACUGUUAGCUCACUGAAGGUCUCCAGUUCAAGUCUGGGUCGAAUCA